Molecule: long non-coding RNA, 5119 nt
Organism: Cavia porcellus (domestic guinea pig)
Lineage: Eukaryota; Metazoa; Chordata; Mammalia; Rodentia; Caviidae
Exons: 2
Source: RefSeq, a predicted model, not a curated record
CUCCUCUCCUUUCCUCUCCAUUACCUUGUUUCUUUCCCCUAAGUCCCUUCCCUCCUUUUUCCCCUUUCUACUUUCUUGAUUCACCCUUUCCCACUCUUCUUUCUUUCAUUUUAACUUGAGCUGGUUUCACUCAGUUACAGAGUUUACUUGUCCUCCACAUGAUCAUUGUCCAGGUUCUUGAAUGUUUAUUUCCAAGACAUCUAUAGCUUUUAGACCUUAGAGAUUGGCUUUUCGAGCCAUGUAAUGGGGACAUUAUGCUAGAAGAAGCCAAGUGCAAAGCUGUGGAAUUUUUCUUCCAUUUGAGAAAUUAGAAAAAAUAAUAAUUAAAUCCCAGGAAUUUUGGAAAUGAAUGUUCUCAUUAAAUACUUAGUAUAUAGCUAUUAGUCUUGUAAGUUUUUUCCCAUAUUAUGUUAGUCAGCUUUCUGAGACUGUUACUAAAUACUUGAGAGAUUCAAUUUAAAAGGAGAAAAUGUUUAUUUUUGUUCACAGUUUUAGAAGGUUCAGUACACAGUCAUGUGUUGUCAUUGUUUCUGCGCCUGGGGUGAACUCUAUCUGUUGAGCUUUCUGGUAUAGGAGGAUUUCAUGGACUGUAUCUGCAAAAUUAGUAGUAUAAAUUAAUGUACACAGACCAUAGCUUUUUUUCAAUUGCACAUUUAUUUUUCUUUGAACAUAUUUGGUUAUUAUGUUUUACCACAAUGUUUUAUUCACUUCUGAGAAAAUAAAAACCUCUGAUAUAAUCAGAAGAAACAACUGAGAGGAUAUAUUUGAAUAAGCAUUGAUUCUUUGACUAAGAAGAUGCUACAUAGUAAAUUAAUUUAUUUUAUGUAUUCAGUGAUACCUUGUGGAUCUUUAGAAGCAAACUUAUUUUGAGCAUACGCUUGUCUUCUUCUAUUUCAUCAACUAAUUCAACUUCAUUUACUUGUAAUGGUCAGUUAGGCAGAUCAUACAACAUUUAACAUUUUUGUUUGUUUCCAAAAGGUUGAUUUUCUGUAGUAAUGUUCCUUAAUUGCUGUAUGUAGAAUUCUUUGUAGGGUAUUUGUAAAUGUCUUGUUUAUUGUAAAUUUUUCAGUUCACUCUAAUAAAAUUACAAAUAGUGAAAACAAUUGUAUUUUGCCUACCAUAGCUGCAAAAUAAUUUCUGCAUUUUUACUAAUUCUCUACAAUCUCAACCCCAAAUUAUAGCAAUUUCAUAAGCACUUGAAAAAUUAUUGUGUUUAUUGGAUUAUUUGCAGGUGGAGCUCUGUUCUUAGUCUACAAAUCAGUGGUUAAUUUAAUGAUGCACUAGUUUAUAUUUAGCAAAAUGAAGCACAACAAGCUCAGCUGAAAAACGAUUCUUGUUUUAACCAGUAGCUUCACACAGCUGUUUAAAUAUCAUAUUGUACUUGUUUUUUUCCCCCUUUCCUUAUUUAGGAUGGCACAUGGUACUUGUGUAAUCUUUGCUUAUUUUAAGCUGGCAUAGAAGAAUGGUUCCUAGCAAAUGGGAGGCAAUUUGCAAAACUGAAGGAUGUUCUCACGAAUUCAGGCUGAGUUCAAUUAUUAUUGAAGAAUACAUCUUUCUCUCCUCUAUAUUCUCCUGCAGACUUUUUCAUUAAAAUGUUAUAUUUCAAAGUUUAUGACAAGAGUACUAUUUUCAUUUAUUCCAUCUAAUUUUCUUUCCUGUGUAUGAGGAUACUAUUAAAGUAAGAUUGGUUAGGAAAAGUCAGGUGUUUUAAAAUCAUAGUAGUUCACUCUUAUCAAUUUUAUAAUACUUCUGGCUUCGUUUUUUUGUUUCCUUAUACACAUGUAAAGGCUGAUGCAAAAGAUGUAACAUUAAAAUGGAAAGUUUGAAGACUCUCUAUUAGGUACUUUUAAAAGAAUUCCUAUUGCAUUUCCAUAUCCUUAUAUAGAUGCCUAAAUCAAAAAUAAGACUCAAUUUCUAUUUUUUGUUCUAUGUCAAUUAAAAUGUUUUUGUUAGAUUUUUAAAUUUAUUUAACUUUUUCAUUUAUUUAAGUUUCAUAUGUUCAUGAAGUAUAUGUUAAUAUUUUCUGUUAGUAACAUUUUGUCACAAUGUGUCUGUGAAGCAGAACACUACCAUGGUUAUAUAUUACAUCUACUUUUUGGUAUGGGGCUGUUUCCUCUAUAUUGCAUGUUUUAAGAAAAUAGUCUUGUAGGCAGCAAAUAAAACUGAGAUUCUCUAUAGAGAUAAAUGAAUGUAGAAAAAGUUUAAGAGACUUAGUUGAAAUAUCAAUGUAAUAGUUUUACUUCUGUGAAACAAUUCAUUUAACAUCUCUGUUUUUAAAAAUGUGUAGGGUUUCUUUAAAUAUUCAAUUAUAUCAUAUAUAUUUAUUCUGAUUAUCUUAGUAUGAGAGCUGAGUAGGGUGAUUUGCACUGUUUUUUAAAUAGAGCUUUCAUGUGAUUUUCUUAUUACUGAACUUAAACCUAAUUACAUAAAGUUAUCUCAUGAAUCAGGAAAAUUUGUACUAAGAUAACCAUCUCUAAGAAAGUUAGAAAUAGAAUGGCAACAUACAGAAAACAAUUUCCAGUAAGAAAAUAAACCUGUUGAAGAAUAAAGACAUAUUUUAUAAAUUAUGUAUAUGAUAAAAAUUGUAAGGAUGUUAGGCUAGAAAAUUAUUGAAUUAAUACAUAAUAUUGUAUGCUUGCUUGUACAGUAUUUUAGAAUGAUAUGUUAUUUUUAUAAAAAGCUAAAUUUUAUUAUUUGUAAUUGAAUUUUACUUUUGGUGGUUCUGGGGAUCAAAUUGAAGCCCUAAAGCAUGCUAAGCAAGCUCUCUACCACUGAGCUACAUACUCAACCCCAGGUUAGACUUUACAUAUUGUAUAUAGUAUGCAUAAUAUUGGGAAGUAAGGUUAUUCUGGAACUUUCUAUAUUUUUAUCUAAUAUGGGUAGAUAAUCAUAAUUGUUUACUGUUUGUAUUUUAGGUAUAGGACAAGCAACCAUACUUAGAGCAAAGUUCAGGACUAAAAUCUCUCAGUAAAACUUGAUGGUAAUGGAACCAAAAAUCAAAACUCGACAACUUGAUGGACCAGGAGAUCUCUCAAAAAAAUAUUUGUGAAAUCCAUAGAGAACCAAGUAAGUUUCUGCAAAUGAUUGCUGUGUUUCCUGUUUUACAAAUUCACAAAGAAAUUUAGGAAACCCUUAUUUUUGGGGUGUUUAAUAUUUGACAACUGUCCAGUUAGUUUUGUGCAGUUUGUUUGUUGUGCCAUUGUUAUUUGUGACAAAUGGAGCUGGUGUAUGAUUAAAAAAAAAAGGACAAUUGACCUUAUUCCCUCACAAAUAUGAAGGUAGUUUUGUGUAAUAAAAACCAGGAUGUCUUGACUUUGCAUAGUCAUGAUCAUAGAAAUUCUCAAAACAUUUCAUAAACAUUAAAAUUAUGCAGAAAUAAUUAACUGAGAUUUUCUGUUUCCAAAUUUUGAAUGUAUGUACAUAAAUAAAAAUUUGAAUUAUGAGAUUGAGUUUUUAAAUUUCAAAACAGUACAUUGAAGAAUGGCCUGUAGACAUUCCGUCAAAGACAAAAGCCAAGGGUUCAUUACUUUAGUUUUUAAUGUGUUUUUUUUUUUCUUUUGCAGGAAGGAGAAUACUUCCUAGUAAUUCCUAUAUGAAUUGCUAAUUUUUGUUCAUAGAUAUAAUGAUGAAAUGAUUUGUAAAUAGUAAACACUUUUUUGAUUUUUUAGAUUCUUUAUUCCCCUUAGAGGAAAUAAAUAAUUGAAGAAUUGAGGACCUUUAGAUCAGAACACGGCAGUUAAAGGGAUAAAACAGUCUUCUAUACAGCUUUGUCCUAGAGAUAUGUACAGUUUCAGAAUUUCAGAUGAUACUCAUAUAAGGCCCUCAUUUGUUGUUUAGAAUUUCAAAGGUGAGAAGGAUUAGUAUUAUGAGCUGAAUCAAAACUAGUGUGAUACGAUUAUUUUAAGAUCAAAAUGCACUGAAUAUGUUAUUGAGGGUUUGGUCUACUGAAGUCUAGAGUACAACUAAGUGUGUUGCAGCUGUAAUAAUUACCUCAGAAAUGAGUCAUAUUAGGAAAACUCCCAAUCUGUUUUAUGCCACACAUUUCUAAUAUAGUAAUUUUUGGUGGCUAGAGCUUGAAUUAAUCAAAUUAAAAGUGCUGGGUUAUAAAGAUUUUGGCUGUUGUCAUAAUCUCUAUCAUGGAAGUCUAAAAACUACAUUUAAUUUCAUCAGUAGGUAUUAGUUAUUUUUGUUUUUUCUAUAGUUAUUUCUCAUGCUAGAUUUCUUAAAUAGAAAUUUUUAUCUAGAAAAUACUAAUUAUAGUUCUACCCUGUGAAAAGCAAUAUUUUAGAUUCUAUAUUUAUGGCAAUAAGACAGACAAGGAUUGUGUUCAUAUGAAACUUAGAUUGUGGUUCUCAGGUCAGGGAGCCAAUUCAACAAGUAAAUAAAUGACAAAAAUACCAAGAAUGCUGAAGAGAAGUUAUACAAGGAUGAUUGAGUCGUCAAAGAAGUCUUUUUAAUGAAAGCCAUUUAAAUUGAGAACUGAUGACAAAAAACAAAAUGUAAACAUUUGGGGCAAGAGCAUUUCAGUGAAGAGUUUCUAAGAUGUGCCCAGGGAAAAAAAACAAGACUGAUAAUACUUAUGAGCAUGUAGAGUGCAACCCGAGAAGCUGGUGGAGAUCUAGCUGACAGAAGUCUGUGAGCCUGAAUAAGGGGGUAGAAUAUCCGUCUAAUGUGUUAGGAGGCAUUGGAAGGUUUUCAGACUGGAAAUGGACAUGACCUAAUUUACACUAAAAAAUACUUUGAUUAUCAGCUUACUUUGUAGCAGCAGGAACCAAGACAAUGUGAUAUUGUUAGAGGCAAAGACACAUACAUCAGUGGUACAGGAUGUGGAACUCAGGAAUGAAUCUACAGAGUUAUGGCCAACUCAGAUUUUGACAAAGGUGCAAAAGCAGUUCAAUAGAGGAAAGAUAGCCAUUGCAGCAAAUGGUGCUGGAACAAUUGGACAUUCAUAGGUAAAAUAAUGAACCUAACCUAAACCACACAUCUACAAAAUGCAGAUCAAAAGGGGUCAUGAGCUUUAAUAAAAAACAUAUUAAAAUGUAACUAUUUUAGAAAAAAAUUAGAAUAUGGUCUUCAGGAUCUAAACUCAACAAGGAAUUCUGACUUAAUGCCAAAAGAA